Molecule: transfer RNA, 73 nt
Filed under: Collybiopsis luxurians FD-317 M1
Lineage: Eukaryota; Fungi; Basidiomycota; Agaricomycetes; Agaricales; Omphalotaceae
Description: tRNA-Pro (TGG) (tRNA-Pro-TGG-7-1)
Rfam family: tRNA
About the family: Transfer RNA (tRNA) molecules are approximately 80 nucleotides in length. Their secondary structure includes four short double-helical elements and three loops (D, anti-codon, and T loops). Further hydrogen bonds mediate the characteristic L-shaped molecular structure. tRNAs have two regions of fundamental functional importance: the anti-codon, which is responsible for specific mRNA codon recognition, and the 3' end, to which the tRNAs corresponding amino acid is attached (by aminoacyl-tRNA synthetases). tRNAs cope with the degeneracy of the genetic code in two manners: having more than one tRNA (with a specific anti-codon) for a particular amino acid; and 'wobble' base-pairing, i.e. permitting non-standard base-pairing at the 3rd anti-codon position.
Source: RNAcentral
GGUCAAGUAGCUCAGUUGGUUAGAGCACUGUCCCUGGAUGGCAGGGACCUGGGUUCAAUUCCCAGCUUGGUCA